AAGCCAACUUGCCAACGCCUGCAAUUCCUACCUCGGAUAUAGAUUGACAGGGCUAUUUCUCUGCACAGUUCAGAUUCUUCAUAUUUUUUCCAAUUAAAUCUGAUGUUAUUUCUUUCCCGCCAGAUAAGAGCAACAGUGUUAAUGAAGGCACAAGCUGUUAUACUAUUAAGUGCCACUCUACUAUUUGCCUUGCUACACACCCACUGCAAUUCUGUUUCCCAGUUACCCACUGUCCUGUGAUAUCCCAGCCAGGUGCAUAGUCUAAUCCACAGGCCCUUUGUAACUGG
This 287-nucleotide long non-coding RNA is filed under the name Nicotiana benthamiana. RNAcentral's name for it is "long non-coding RNA (NBEN_LNC001855)". Lineage: Eukaryota; Viridiplantae; Streptophyta; Magnoliopsida; Solanales; Solanaceae. The record is from RNAcentral.